This 85-nucleotide transfer RNA is filed under the name Felis catus (domestic cat). It matches the Rfam family "tRNA". Rfam says of the family: Transfer RNA (tRNA) molecules are approximately 80 nucleotides in length. Their secondary structure includes four short double-helical elements and three loops (D, anti-codon, and T loops). RNAcentral also lists the same sequence under 4 other names. The record is from Rfam by way of RNAcentral. Lineage: Eukaryota; Metazoa; Chordata; Mammalia; Carnivora; Felidae.
GCCUUGGUGGCUCAGUCAGUUAAGCAUCUGACUUCAGCUCAGGUCAUGAUCUCAUAGUUCGUGGGUUCGAGCCCCACUUCUGGCU